Phodopus roborovskii (desert hamster) is the source of this 422-nucleotide non-coding RNA. The record is from the annotation of a RefSeq genome assembly. Lineage: Eukaryota; Metazoa; Chordata; Mammalia; Rodentia; Cricetidae.
CUGUUCACAGUCCCUGCAGGAGUCCUUCCCAGUCAGGACACAGCAUGGCCAUGAAGUCUCCUGCACAGGUCCUGGCAAUUUGGCUACUUUGGCUCUCAGGUGCCUUAUGUGAUAUUCAAGUGACACAGUCUCCAUCCCUCCUGUCCGCAUCUCUAGGAGAAAAAGUGACCAUCACUUGCCUGGCAAGUCAGGGCAUUAGCAAUUACCUGAGCUGGUACCAGCAGAAACCAGGACAAUCUCCUACACUAUUGAUCUAUUAUGCAACUGGUUUGCAAUCUGGUGUCCCAUCAAGGUUCAGUGGCCAAUAUUCUGGGAGAAGUUUCACUCUAAGCAUCAGCAGCCUGGAGCCUGAAGAUGUUGCAACUUAUUACUGUCUUCAACAUAACAGUAUUCCUCACACAGUGAUACAAGUCAUGACAUAA